RNAcentral lists this long non-coding RNA (1019 nucleotides) under Gossypium barbadense (sea-island cotton). RNAcentral describes it as "long non-coding RNA (GBAR_LNC002820)". Lineage: Eukaryota; Viridiplantae; Streptophyta; Magnoliopsida; Malvales; Malvaceae. The record is from RNAcentral.
AGCACCGUUUCUUUUAGGCUAUAUAAGCCAAAUUUUAAGCUUGAAAAUCAUUUUUACACCGGUUAGAAAAAAAAACUUAAAGAAAUCCUCUGCAGGAGGAUUCGGGGUCGGCUUCAGAACCUCGUCGGGCCCCUAUCCUCAGGCGCCUACGCCCACACGCCACCGCGAGGACCACCACGCACGGUGAUCAAAGGGUUAAAAACCCUCGUCCUUUCAAGCGAAUUAUAGGUAACUCUCUUCCUCUUAGUAUUUCCGUAGUUUAUUUAAAAAAAAUGCUUCGUAUACCAGUCAGAAAAUAAUUAACAAAAUAUGAAAUAUAAAUCACCUUAAGAAACUGUUUGCAAUCCUGAAUGUAUUCGUAUGUCUACUGUUUUUAUUUUCUAAAAAAAAUCCGGUUUUUUACAUCGUAUUUGAUUCAGGCUUUUAUAGCCAUUGUUUACAAUAUAUUUUGGGAAGAAAUCUUUUAUUUCUUCCCAUUUUUGUUUGUUUGCUGCUGUUUCUUUCUCUUUUGCAAAUAUUCGCGAGGAAAAUCCGACGAUGAUCGUGCUGGACGCAGAUCUGCCGGUGGCGUUGAUCACGGCGUGACCUGGAGCCUGGAAUCGUGGCUUUGAUGGAGGGUACUGGAAAGACAUAAAACCGAAGGAGUGUGAUGUUUGGUUUGGCUUCUGGAAUUUUCUGUUUACGGCGCUUAGGGUUCCAAAAAAAAACUAGGUCUCCCCUCAUCUGUUAACACAUUUGGGCCUCUUGGGCCCCGAAUGUAAUGGGUCUGCUAGGCUUAAGCUAAAACUGGGUGUAGGCAAUUAGGUCAAAUGUAAACGGGUAGUGGGUUUAGGUAUUUGAGCUCUGUAUAUGGACUGUUUAAAUAAAUAAACAUUUUUUUUUUGGUUUUAAAGCCCGGGCAGAUUUGGACUAUUACACUCCUUUAUUCUGUUCUCGCUUUCGGUAAAUUUUUUUCCCAAUAUAUUACCAUCCUCCACAUUCCAUUUCUUCAGGAUCCCCUUUAACUUUCUCAAUUUCAC